GCAGAGUAGCACAAAAAGCGUUAAGUGCCGUGUAACGGGAUGUUGAACACGGACGAAAAGGGAAUUUCCUUGCGGUUUUUUGGCGCAUCCA
This 91-nucleotide non-coding RNA is filed under the name human gut metagenome. RNAcentral describes it as "THF riboswitch". It matches the Rfam family "THF (Tetrahydrofolate) riboswitch aptamer". Rfam says of the family: THF riboswitch presents a pseudoknot that joins P1-P2 and the loop of P3 and two THF binding. The record is from RNAcentral. RNAcentral also lists the same sequence under 1 other name.